This 253-nucleotide ribosomal RNA is filed under the name uncultured bacterium. Its description in RNAcentral is "partial 16S ribosomal RNA". It matches the Rfam family "Bacterial small subunit ribosomal RNA", at positions 524 to 776 of the family's 1533-position model. The record is from RNAcentral.
UACGAAGGGGGCUAGCGUUGCUCGGAAUCACUGGGCGUAAAGGGUGCGUAGGCGGGUCUUUAAGUCAGGGGUGAAAUCCUGGAGCUCAACUCCAGAACUGCCUUUGAUACUGAAGAUCUUGAGUUCGGGAGAGGUGAGUGGAACUGCGAGUGUAGAGGUGAAAUUCGUAGAUAUUCGCAAGAACACCUAUGGCGAAGGCAGCUCUCUGGGACGGUACUGACGCUGAGACGCGAAAGCGUGGGGAGCGAACAGG